AACGAACGCUGGCGGCAUGCCUAACACAUGCAAGUCGAACGAUGCCUUCGGGCAUAGUGGCGCACGGGUGCGUAACGCGUGGGAAUCUGCCUUUCGGUUCGGAAUAACUCAGGGAAACUUGAGCUAAUACCGGAUAACGUCGCAAGACCAAAGAUUUAUCACCGAAAGAUGAGCCCGCGUAGGAUUAGCUAGUUGGUGAGGUAAAGGCUCACCAAGGCGACGAUCCUUAGCUGGUCUGAGAGGAUGAUCAGCCACACUGGGGCUGAGACACGGCCCAGACUCCUACGGGAGGCAGCAGUGGGGAAUAUUGGACAAUGGGCGAAAGCCUGAUCCAGCAAUGCCGCGUGAGUGAUGAAGGCCCUAGGGUUGUAAAGCUCUUUUACCCGGGAAGAUAAUGACGGUACCGGGAGAAUAAGCCCCGGCUAACUCCGUG
This 433-nucleotide ribosomal RNA is filed under the name uncultured bacterium. Its description in RNAcentral is "partial 16S ribosomal RNA". It matches the Rfam family "Bacterial small subunit ribosomal RNA", at positions 29 to 507 of the family's 1533-position model. The record is from RNAcentral.